Non-coding RNA from Paramuricea clavata, 1260 nucleotides. The record is from the annotation of a GenBank genome assembly. Lineage: Eukaryota; Metazoa; Cnidaria; Anthozoa; Malacalcyonacea; Plexauridae.
CGCUCACAAAAAAUAUUUACAAUGGGAAUAUAGUUAAAAUACAAUAAUAUAAAGUACCGCAAUUUCUCGUCUUGGCAGGUGGGAUCCUGGGAACAAAUAGCGGGGUAUCACAUAGGCCAGAUAGAGGUAGAAUCAUUCAUUAUACUGUAAACACUCGAUAGAGUUUAUAUUACAAGAGGUAUCAUAAAACUAGUAUUCCUUUUACAAGUGCUGACAUCUUGUAUAUUCAUUGCCAGCAUACCUAUUACAACCAACUUACAGACAAGGGAAAACUGGUUAAAAUUACUAGAUGGUGAUUAUACGGUAGAAAAUGGAUUUUCCUUUAUAGGCAGAUUUUAUUCCAGAUUUUUGACUUAGAUUAUUCAGUAUCCAUUAGAGUGAGUAGAAGUCAGUGCCAACAACUCACCCCAAGGCAAAGCCUUCCAUUCUGCACCCAAAAGUAUCAAUUAUGAAUAGUGGAUUUUGUUCAUUCAACAUUGGCUGCCAGAAAUGUGAUAAAAGGGCAAUGUGCAUGCGUACAAAGCUAGAUUGUAUUAUGAUUUGUCUUACAAAUGACUAUUAAUACAUUAGGUACUAGAACUCUCCACUUGAGUCUUGACGAGUUAAAUUGUCCCGCGAGUACAAUAAUUUGGCAUUAACCCAUGGAUUGAGUUGCAUUGCGCCCUGAUGCGCCCACUUUAUUAUUUUACUCUGUCUAAUUACAGACGAUUUUACUUGUCAAAGGGAGAGUGCUGGCGCUUAAUGGGUUAAAUACAUUAAUACAAUAAGGAAGUAGACACAUAGGGGCACAAUGCAACUUAAUGAGUAACUAGAUUCAUGGUCAGAUUAACCCAUUAACCGCCAGCAGUUCCACUCACAAAUAAAAUUGUCUGGCAUCAGACAGGAAUACAAUAAAUUAAGGUGCAAUGCAACUUCAUGGGUUAAAAUUUGAAAUCUUGCCUGUGGGACCACGAUUUCUGGGUUGGAAUGUUCUAGCAAUCACUUGGUCUAUGGGUUGUGAAACCAUAGUGAAUCAAAUUUUUCCUGUGAAAACAAAUAAAUAAUUUAUCUGUAGUCAUUCAUUAUGUAGGAUGGAGUUUACAACGUGAUAAAGAAUUUUUGAACAGCAAUAUCGUUUAGAUGCUUUCUAAAAUACAAGGGUGAUGUUGUUGGUACUGUAUUGUGAUCUAAUAUGCUAUUGGCUCAUUCUUGAUUCCAGAAAACAUUCGUACAUUCGUAUGGUUAUGAUUUCACCUCAGUUGUACAUGAGAGCCAUGCUAC